This 253-nucleotide ribosomal RNA is filed under the name uncultured bacterium. Its description in RNAcentral is "partial 16S ribosomal RNA". It matches the Rfam family "Bacterial small subunit ribosomal RNA", at positions 524 to 776 of the family's 1533-position model. The record is from RNAcentral.
UACGUAGGGUGCAAGCGUUGUCCGGAAUUAUUGGGCGUAAAGAGCUCGUAGGCGGUCUGUUGCGUCGGCUGUGAAAACCCGAGGCUCAACCUCGGGCCUGCAGCCGAUACGGGCAGACUAGAGUUCGGCAGGGGAGACUGGAAUUCCUGGUGUAGCGGUGAAAUGCGCAGAUAUCAGGAGGAACACCGGUGGCGAAGGCGGGUCUCUGGGCCGAUACUGACGCUGAGGUGCGAAAGCUAGGGGAGCAAACAGG